GUCACCUGCUUCUACACUGGCUCUUUGUCUUACACUCUGCAGACUGGUUGCACUCUGUCUGUCUGUGUGACCCUUUGCAAAGAAUAAAACCCUUAAAAGACGUCUGGAUUGGACUCUUUGUUUCAGAAGACUCACUAAAGGACAAAUUUCCAUUACAUUUGGUGUCAGAAGUGGGAUGGUUUGGCAAAGUUUGUCUGGGACCUGAGACGGCCGGCGACUGAUCAGCCUGGAGUAAAGUGUCUCAGCCUCCACCUCGCUGACUUAAGAGACGGGAGGGUCGACCGUCCGCGCCCCGGACCGUCGCCACUACCAUCUCAAAUAAGAGUUAAGUUAUUAGUAAAUGCUGAUGAGCCUGAACAGCCUACAUUGGUGAUGAAUGAGAAGCACCAAGAGUUUUAGAAAGUGUCAUUUAAACCUAGCAGGGGACAAUGCUGCUACAUGAUAUGUUGAAAACAGCCCCAGAGAGGGGCAGGUUGCAUAUAUGGUAUCAUGUUGAUGAAUUCUGAUGACAUAGUUGCUAAACACUUAUUUCAGUUAUCAGAGCACUAAUGAGUGACGCCACUGCACACACAGACACAUAGACACACACACAUAGACACACACACACACACACACACACACAGACACACACACACACACACACAUAGACACACACACACACACACAGGAACAUGCAGACAGACUCGUUACUCUGCACAAUACACAAUUCUGAUGGACAGGAUGCAACAAGUUUUAAUUAUUUAUGGAAGAGGGACAGUGGAAGAAAAAAAAAGAGAGAGAACUAUUGCAACAUAUUAUCUGGACAAGGAGGCUGUGCUGUUGUUUUGUUUCUUCUUCUCCUUCUCUGAUCUUAGCUGUACCGAGGGGGAAGUAUACACAUGGCGAAGCAAAGCCAAGUGAUUUGCAAACGGAUGGAUUUGGGGAUAAAGUCCACCCGGAGUUGGCUGACUGACAACAGGCCCGCUGCAGUGACCUGUACGCACCCACAUUUUCACAAAAGAUUAUGAUGAAGGCCGACCAGCAGAGCGACAGAGUGCUGCAGGUUAAAGAGGCCCUACCCUCUCCAGCGACAGAACCACUGCACAGUCUCCUAGAGUCUCCUUUUGUGGUGGUUAAGGACUUCAGAAGAAAGCACUGGAAGGCGCAGAGGUGGAAAGGUGCUCCUGACAACAUACACAGCGGUAAAAGUGGCUGAAAGAGCUACGUGGAUUCACGCCAGCCACUGCAGGAAGGUGCCUGCACCAGUACAACAAUAGAUCAACAAGCGUGCACAAUCAGCACCUCGUGUUGUGAGCGAAGGAGGGAUUGGGAACGCUUAGGCACCCUUUGUCUCGGACUCACAGGCUGUUAGACAGCAAACAUCAGCACAAGGGAGCUAGUGGGAAAACUCCUGGUCUCUCUUGGGGCGGCUGUGGCU
Micropterus dolomieu (smallmouth bass) is the source of this 1417-nucleotide long non-coding RNA. RefSeq lists it as uncharacterized. The transcript is spliced from 3 exons. Lineage: Eukaryota; Metazoa; Chordata; Actinopteri; Centrarchiformes; Centrarchidae. The record is from RefSeq and is a predicted model, not a curated record.